CGUAGGAGACGAGCGUUAUCCGGAUUUACUGGGCGUAAAGCGUGUGCAGGCGGUUCGGCAAGUUGGAUGUGAAAUCUCCCGGCUCAACUGGGAGGGGUCGUUCAAAACUACCGAGCUUGAGGUCAUCAGAGGAAGGUGGAAUUCCGGGUGUAGUGGUGAAAUGCGUAGAUAUCCGGAGGAACACCAGUGGCGAAGGCGGCCUUCUGGGAUGAUCCUGACGCUCAGACACGAAAGCUAGGGGAGCGAACGGGAUUAGAGACCCCGGUAGUCCUAGCUGUAAACGAUGUAGACUUGGCGUCGGAGGGUUCAAAACCUUCGGUGUCGUAGCUAACGCGAUAAGUCUACCGCCUGGGGACUACGGCCGCAAGGUUA
This 372-nucleotide ribosomal RNA is filed under the name uncultured organism. Its description in RNAcentral is "bacterial SSU rRNA". It matches the Rfam family "Bacterial small subunit ribosomal RNA", at positions 526 to 896 of the family's 1533-position model. The record is from RNAcentral.